This 933-nucleotide ribosomal RNA is filed under the name Mycobacterium sp. 152. RNAcentral's name for it is "bacterial SSU rRNA". It matches the Rfam family "Bacterial small subunit ribosomal RNA", at positions 554 to 1483 of the family's 1533-position model. The record is from RNAcentral. Lineage: Bacteria; Bacillati; Actinomycetota; Actinomycetes; Mycobacteriales; Mycobacteriaceae.
CUGGGCGUAAGAGCUCGUAGGUGGUUUGUCGCGUUGUUCGUGAAAACUCACAGCUUAACUGUGGGCGUGCGGGCGAUACGGGCAGACUGGAGUACUGCAGGGGAGACUGGAAUUCCUGGUGUAGCGGUGGAAUGCGCAGAUAUCAGGAGGAACACCGGUGGCGAAGGCGGGUCUCUGGGCAGUAACUGACGCUGAGGAGCGAAAGCGUGGGGAGCGAACAGGAUUAGAUACCCUGGUAGUCCACGCCGUAAACGGUGGGUACUAGGUGUGGGUUUCCUUCCUUGGGAUCCGUGCCGUAGCUAACGCAUUAAGUACCCCGCCUGGGGAGUACGGCCGCAAGGCUAAAACUCAAAGAAAUUGACGGGGGCCCGCACAAGCGGCGGAGCAUGUGGAUUAAUUCGAUGCAACGCGAAGAACCUUACCUGGGUUUGACAUGCACAGGACGUGCCUAGAGAUAGGUAUUCCCUUGUGGCCUGUGUGCAGGUGGUGCAUGGCUGUCGUCAGCUCGUGUCGUGAGAUGUUGGGUUAAGUCCCGCAACGAGCGCAACCCCUAUCUUAUGUUGCCAGCGCGUCAUGGCGGGGACUCGUAAGAGACUGCCGGGGUCAACUCGGAGGAAGGUGGGGAUGACGUCAAGUCAUCAUGCCCCUUAUGUCCAGGGCUUCACACAUGCUACAAUGGCCGGUACAAAGGGCUGCGAAUCCGUGAGGUGGAGCGAAUCCCUUGAAAGCCGGUCUCAGUUCGGAUCGGGGUCUGCAACUCGACCCCGUGAAGUCGGAGUCGCUAGUAAUCGCAGAUCAGCAACGCUGCGGUGAAUACGUUCCCGGGCCUUGUACACACCGCCCGUCACGUCAUGAAAGUCGGUAACACCCGAAGCCGGUGGCCUAACCCGUAAGGGAGGGAGCCGUCGAAGGUGGGAUCGGCGAUUGGGACGA